UUGCACGCUGGCGGCAGGCCUAACCCAUGCAAGUCGAGCGGAUGAAGGGAGCUUGCUCCUGGCUUCAGCGGCGGACGGGUGAGUAAUGCCUAGGAAUCUGCCUGGUAGUGGGGGAUAACGUCCGGAAACGGGCGCUAAUACCGCAUACGUCCUGAGGGAGAAAGUGGGGGAUCUUCGGACCUCACGCUAUCAGAUGAGCCUAGGUCGGAUUAGCUAGUUGGUGGGGUAAAGGCCUACCAAGGCGACGAUCCGUAACUGGUCUGAGAGGAUGAUCAGUCACACUGGAACUGAGACACGGUCCAGACUCCUACGGGAGGCAGCAGUGGGGAAUAUUGGACAAUGGGCGAAAGCCUGAUCCAGCCAUGCCGCGUGUGUGAAGAAGGUCUUCGGAUUGUAAAGCACUUUAAGUUGGGAGGAAGAGCAGUAAGUUAAUACCUUGCUGUUUUGACGUUACCAACAGAAUAAGCACCGGCUAACUUCGUG
RNAcentral lists this ribosomal RNA (483 nucleotides) under uncultured bacterium. Its description in RNAcentral is "partial 16S ribosomal RNA". It matches the Rfam family "Bacterial small subunit ribosomal RNA", at positions 30 to 507 of the family's 1533-position model. The record is from RNAcentral.